GGACGAACGUUGGCGGCGUGCCUAAUACAUGCAAGUCAACUGAAAUACCGGUAGCAAUACUGGUAUGGAGGUGGCGCACGGGUGAGUAACACGUAGGUAAUCUGCCUUCAGGUCUGACAUAACCCAUCGAAAGGUGAGCUAAUAUCAGAUGAUGCAGCGGCUUGACAUCAAGACAGGUUGUUAAAGCUUCGGCGCCUGAAGAUGAGCCUGCGUCUGAUUAGCUAGUUGGCGGGUAACGG
Molecule: ribosomal RNA, 239 nt
Filed under: uncultured bacterium
Lineage: Bacteria
Description: partial 16S ribosomal RNA
Rfam family: Bacterial small subunit ribosomal RNA
Source: RNAcentral